This 75-nucleotide non-coding RNA is filed under the name Tenacibaculum jejuense. The record is from RNAcentral. Lineage: Bacteria; Pseudomonadati; Bacteroidota; Flavobacteriia; Flavobacteriales; Flavobacteriaceae.
UGAUUUUUUUGAGGAAAUAUUUGUUCUGAUUGCGACCUCGUAAAAAAAUGCUAAAACAGUAAUGUUUGCUACAUU